RNAcentral lists this ribosomal RNA (254 nucleotides) under uncultured bacterium. Its description in RNAcentral is "partial 16S ribosomal RNA". It matches the Rfam family "Bacterial small subunit ribosomal RNA", at positions 524 to 777 of the family's 1533-position model. The record is from RNAcentral.
UACGAAGGGGGCUAGCGUUGCUCGGAAUUACUGGGCGUAAAGCGCACGUAGGCGGUCUUUUAAGUCGGGGGUGAAAUCCUGGAGCUCAACUCCAGAACUGCCUUCGAUACUGGAAGACUUGAGUUCGGGAGAGGUGAGUGGAACUGCGAGUGUAGAGGUGAAAUUCGUAGAUAUUCGCAAGAACACCAGUGGCGAAGGCGGCUCACUGGCCCGAUACUGACGCUGAGGCACGAAAGCGUGGGGAGCAAACAGGG